AAGGAGAGCAAUCUCUUGGAAGAUUUCCUAGUAAGGAGUAGAACUAGAGUGUAUCACUUGCAAGUUGCAAAUGACACCAUCUAUUCCUUUCAAGAGCUAACAUGGAAGAUUUGCAAAAACUUAAGCUAAUCUUGAUGAUUUUGUGGGUGCAUUUAAGGGCUUAAGAUCAAUUUAGAUGAGAUUACUUUAGUUGGUAUUAACAUGAAUCAAGAUUAGAAUAUUAGAUUGGUUUCAAUGCUCAAAUGUAAGGUUUCUGAGUGGCCCUUAACCAAAGGCUAGUGCUUUUUAGGAUCUAGUGGUCAAUAGAAUGUCAUAGAGAUUGGAUGGUUGGAAAAAAAAUUUUAUUUUUAGUUGGAAGAAUAAUUCUAAUCUAGUCUUGCUUGUCUCACAUUCCUAGUAACUUCCUCUCUUUGCUUAAGAUUCCAUCAGUAGUGGCGACAAUGAUUAAGAAAAUGCAAAGGAAUUUUCUUUAAUCAGGGGUAGGAGAGGGAAAGAGAGAUCAUCUCAUUAGUUGGGACCUAGUGUGCAAAAGUCUAAGGGGGAAGGGGGUUUGAGGUUUUCUAAUGUAAGUGUUGCUUUUUGGCAUAAGGUGAUAUUGAGUAUCUAUGUGAUUCACCCUAAUGGUUGUCAUGCUAACAUGUUAAGAAUAUAGCCCUUUUUGGGAAGUGGCUUUCAAAGGGGAAGAGGGCCUCAACAACUACAACUUUUAGGAGCAUUCCUCUCAAUGUAAUUUGGCUCAAUUGGAAUUUAGUGUGUGAAUCAAAAGAGUCAAAAAAGCAAAGUGUGGAGCAAAGCUCCAAACUUCCAGUCUCUUUUUGUAGAUGUAUUGAUCCCUAUAGAGAGUAGAAUUAGUUUUCUUUGUAUAGUUUCAGUUUCAUGCGGUGUUAUAUUGAGGUAUAGAUUUUUUUUGUAUUUUGGAGAAAACUUAUUCAUUGGUCCUAUUUGAUCAAAGUUUGUAUAUUUGGGAAGGAUUCUUCAUCUUUCACAUGUACUUUUUAAAUUCUUAACUAAAUACUUUGUUCUUGAAAAAAGAAAAAGUCAAAGAUAUAUGAGAAUAACCAAAGUUUUUGUUGCCUAAAGAUUUUAGAUCUAGAAGGAUGUUAGAAACAUCUCCAUGGAUAAAAUCAUGAAUUGAGACCAAAACUUACAUAUACAAAAUCAACAAAAUAUAAAACAAAGUAGAAUAUAAAUAUGAAGCUAAACGAAUUUUUUAAAAUGGAGAAAUUAAAAUAAAAAUGAAAAAAAAAAAGAAGGGAAAAAAGAAGAAGGUAAGAGAGAAAAAAAAAGAAAAAAGAAAAAAGAAAAAGAAGAAACUAUUGGAGUGCAUGAUAUACAUUGUGGGGCCCAAAUAUUACAAUCUUAAGUUUUUAGGAAAAUUGAUUAUCUAAUAUAGUAUCAAAACCUCGUUUGAUGGGAAGUUGUCUUCAAACCUCUUAGCAUGUUUAUUUUCUCACUAUAUUAUACCCAUGUGUUAGCCCAAAAAGAGGCUACCCUUGAGGGAGGGUGUUGGAGUGCAUGAUAUACAUUGUGGGUCUACAAGCUUAAGCUUUUUGGAAAAUUGGUUAUGCAACAGAACAAUGAUCAUAUAAUAAAACAAUCUUGAAGAGACAUCAUACAUGAAAUAGUUUUUGACAAAAACAAAUAGAAAAAGGAAUCUAAAAGCGUUUGCUUGAGCUGACAAGUUACAAACUAGAAAUAUCUUCAUGAUAUAUUUGACUGAAAAUGAAGAGGAUGACUAGCAUUUUCUUUUUUGUCAAAGGGCAAAUAAUUUAUUGAUAUGAAUUUUUAAAUGUAAGCAUAGGAUGAGGAAUCCUUCCAAAAAUUUAGAAGAAAGGAUGAUAAGAAAAAUGGGUAAACUGCAUAAGUGGCAACAUAGCUUUCAAGGAUGAAACAAGAACAUGUAUAAGAUAGAGAAACAAUGCACAACACAAUGUGGUACAAAUUCCCUUACAAAAGAAACCUUUACCUAGCUUCUCAGUUAGCUAAUUGACCUGCUACACGAUUAGUUAAGCACAGAGACCACAACCCGAGUUACUAGCUACAUCCAAAAUUUGGUGAAGCUGCUUGGCGUACUUAAAAGAAAACACUCUCUGACUUUAGCAUCCAUGAGAUCACAAUAGUAGAAUCCCAUGCCACCCAUAAAUUGGGUAGAUACAAAACCGUAGCCUGCAAUAGUCCUUCAUUAGAGUUAAAAUCUGUCUCAGUGGCCAAGCCCGUUCCUGCUGGUUUCGAGAAGGCUCUCAACACUAUAACAUGGUGAUCCCUAAUCACACCUCUAAUUCCCAACUGACUUGGGUUGGCAAAAGCAUGCGAACCAAGUUUAAGUUAAUCGAACCCACUAGAUGCGGAAUCCAAACAAGAAAUCACUCACUGCCUAUCCUCUUUGAUUGACAAAUCAAGUUCCAAUCAAGCUAUAGAAUGCUCUAAGGAGUAACAUAAAAAUCUAUGGAGAUAGAGGCCCAGAGAGAGAGAGAGAAAUUAUCAAGUGCCAAAUAGAUUCCCAAGUUCCUCCAUCCAGCGCAAAAAUCCUUGAAUUCCUCUCCUUCCAAACUGCUCAUAACAAAGUGGAUGACUCAAUCUUUUAGGUAUGUAGAGAUAUUAGAUCUAGAAGGACAUUGUGAUUUCUUUUAGUUUGAAACAGAGCACUUGGUGAAGGGAUGCCUGAACUUGGAGAAGCCAAUCCUUAAAAAUUAUAUUCUGGUUAGGUCUGUGUUAGUCUGCUAAUUAGAUAUCCUAACAGAAGAAUCUUGAAGAAGCAUCAUGUUUCAAAUAGUUUUUGGGAAGAAAGAAAAGAAAAGGGGAAAACAAAGGGAUUCAGAAAGAUUUUUCUUGAGUUGAGGUAGAAAAUGGAAACGUCUUCAGAUACUGAUGAUAAAUAAAUUGCCACAGAAAUAAAUAGAUCUGGAAGGAUGUUUUUGUUGGUUUCAGUUUGAAACUGAGUAGUGCAGCGAAGGGAG
Molecule: long non-coding RNA, 2957 nt
Filed under: Vitis vinifera (wine grape)
Lineage: Eukaryota; Viridiplantae; Streptophyta; Magnoliopsida; Vitales; Vitaceae
Description: long non-coding RNA (VVIN_LNC003355)
Source: RNAcentral